This 520-nucleotide ribosomal RNA is filed under the name uncultured bacterium. RNAcentral describes it as "bacterial SSU rRNA". It matches the Rfam family "Bacterial small subunit ribosomal RNA", at positions 771 to 1285 of the family's 1533-position model. The record is from RNAcentral.
ACCCAAUAGAUACCCAGGUAGUCCACGCCCUAAACGAUGCGCAUUAGACCGGUGCAGGUCUGACCCUGUAUUGGUCGUAGAGAAAUUGAUAAAUGCGCCGCCUGGGGAGUACGGUCGCAAGGCUAAAACUCAAAGGAAUUGACGGGGGCUCACACAAGCGGUGGAGCAUGUUGCUUAAUUCGAAGCAACGCGAAGAACCUUACCUGGGUUUGACAUGCACGGAUUAGUUCUUGGAAACAGGGAUGACACCCGCAAGGGUGGAACGUGCACAGGUGCUGCAUGGCUGUCGUCAGCUCGUGCUGUGAAGUGUCGGGUUAAGUCCUCUAACGAGCGCAACCCCUGUCGCUAGUUGCUAACGGGUAAUGCCGAGGACUCUAGCGAGACUGCCGGCGUAAGUCGGAGGAAGGCGGGGAUGACGUCAAGUCCUCAUGGCCCUUACAUCCAGGGUUGCAAACGUGCUACAAUGGUGCGUACAGAGCGACGCGAGGCCGCAAGGCGGAGCAAAUCGCAAAAAACGACA